UGAGCAGGCUAGGGGUGCUCAACAGGGUUGGGCUGAGAUUACACCCUUGGAACCUGGCACCGGGUAAUACCGGCGGAGGGAAGCUGAUCAGAAUGAUU
This 98-nucleotide non-coding RNA is filed under the name Synechococcus elongatus PCC 7942 = FACHB-805. RNAcentral describes it as "Synechococcus elongatus PCC 7942 TPP riboswitch aptamer (THI element)". It matches the Rfam family "TPP riboswitch aptamer (THI element)". Rfam says of the family: Vitamin B(1) in its active form thiamin pyrophosphate (TPP) is an essential coenzyme that is synthesised by coupling of pyrimidine and thiazole moieties in bacteria. The previously detected thiamin-regulatory element, thi box was extended, resulting in a new, highly conserved RNA secondary structure, the THI element, which is widely distributed in eubacteria and also occurs in some archaea. Analysis of operon structures identified a large number of new candidate thiamin-regulated genes, mostly transporters, in various prokaryotic organisms. The record is from Rfam by way of RNAcentral. Lineage: Bacteria; Bacillati; Cyanobacteriota; Cyanophyceae; Synechococcales; Synechococcaceae. RNAcentral also lists the same sequence under 1 other name.